This 76-nucleotide transfer RNA is filed under the name Niveibacterium umoris. RNAcentral's name for it is "tRNA-Lys". It matches the Rfam family "tRNA". From Rfam's summary of the family: Transfer RNA (tRNA) molecules are approximately 80 nucleotides in length. Lineage: Bacteria; Pseudomonadati; Pseudomonadota; Betaproteobacteria; Rhodocyclales; Rhodocyclaceae. The record is from RNAcentral.
GGGGGUAUAGCUCAGCUGGUAGAGCAGCGGACUCUUAAUCCGUUUGUCGUAGGUUCGAUCCCUACUGCCCCUACCA